This 496-nucleotide ribosomal RNA is filed under the name uncultured bacterium. RNAcentral's name for it is "partial 16S ribosomal RNA". It matches the Rfam family "Bacterial small subunit ribosomal RNA", at positions 28 to 507 of the family's 1533-position model. The record is from RNAcentral.
GAUGAACGCUGGCGGCGUGCCUAAUACAUGCAAGUCGAGCGAACAGACGAGGAGCUUGCUCCUCUGACGUUAGCGGCGGACGGGUGAGUAACACGUGGAUAACCUACCUAUAAGACUGGGAUAACUUCGGGAAACCGGAGCUAAUACCGGAUAAUAUAUUGAACCGCAUGGUUCAAUAGUGAAAGACGGUUUUGCUGUCACUUAUAGAUGGAUCCGCGCCGCAUUAGCUAGUUGGUAAGGUAACGGCUUACCAAGGCGACGAUGCGUAGCCGACCUGAGAGGGUGAUCGGCCACACUGGACCUGAGACACGUUCAGACUCCUACGGGAGGCAGCAGUAGGGAAUCUUCCGCAAUGGGCGAAAGCCUGACGGAGCAACGCCGCGUGAGUGAUGAAGGUCUUCGGAUCGUAAAACUCUGUUAUUAGGGAAGAACAAAUGUGUAAGUAACUAUGCACGUCUUGACGGUACCUAAUCAGAAAGCCACGGCUAACUACGUG